GUGAGGAAUUUUUCGCAAUGGGCGAAAGCCUGACGGAGCAAUGCCGCGUGAAGGAUGAAGGCCUAUGGGUUCUAAACUUCUUUUCUCAGAAAAGAAUUAUGAAGGUAUCUGAGGAAUAAGCAUCGGCUAACUCUGUGCCAGCAGCCGCGGUAAGACAGAGGAUGCAAGCGUUAUCCGGAAUGAUUGGGCGUAAAGCGUCUGUAGGUUGUUUAAAAAGUAUUCUGUCAAAGGUUAGGGCUUAACCCUAGAUAGGCAGAAUAAACUUUUAAGCUAGAGUUUGGUAGAGGCAGAGGGAAUUCCCGGUGGAGCGGUGAAAUGCGUAGAUAUCGGGAGGAACACCAAAGGCGAAGGCACUCUGCUGGGCCAAUACUAACACUGAGAGACGAAAGCGAGGGGAGCAAAUGGGAUUAGAUACCCGGGUAGUCC
RNAcentral lists this ribosomal RNA (426 nucleotides) under uncultured bacterium. RNAcentral's name for it is "partial 16S ribosomal RNA". It matches the Rfam family "Bacterial small subunit ribosomal RNA", at positions 354 to 796 of the family's 1533-position model. The record is from RNAcentral.